GGCGGUUCUCAGGUGACACACCUCAGAAUCGGGCUCUCUCCUCUCUGGUUCUGGUGCGUCACCCAAGAACCACA
Molecule: non-coding RNA, 74 nt
Organism: Myotis lucifugus (little brown bat)
Lineage: Eukaryota; Metazoa; Chordata; Mammalia; Chiroptera; Vespertilionidae
Source: Rfam